CACCCAUGAUGACUCGCCAUGCUAAUACUGAGGCACCGAGAGGGACAACUGUCCCUGAAUUCGGGUGUCUGUGAGUUAAAAUUGCUUCUCACGGGAAGUCCUGAGGUGU
Small nucleolar RNA from Laticauda laticaudata (blue-ringed sea krait), 109 nucleotides. Lineage: Eukaryota; Metazoa; Chordata; Lepidosauria; Squamata; Elapidae. The record is from Ensembl.